Molecule: long non-coding RNA, 5043 nt
Filed under: Sus scrofa (pig)
Lineage: Eukaryota; Metazoa; Chordata; Mammalia; Artiodactyla; Suidae
Description: lncRNA (ENSSSCG00000046141.1)
Source: RNAcentral
GACUUUGCCAAAUUCAUGGAUGAGCUCUGACAGUUUUCUGGUAGGAUUUUCUAGGUAUAGUAUCAUGUCAUUUGCAAACUGAUAGUUUUACUUCUUCCUUUCCAAUUUGGAUUCCUUUUAUUUACUUUUCUCCUUUGAUUGCCAUGGCUAGGACUUCCAAAAUUAUGUUGAAUGGUAGUGGUGAGAGUGGACAUCCUUGUCUUGUUCCUGAUCUUAGUUGGAGUUCUUUCAGCUUUUCACCAUUGAGAAUGGUGUUAGCUAUGCAUUUGUCUUUAUUAUUUUGAAGUAGGUUCCCUCUAUACCCCUUUCUGGAGGUUUUUUUGUUUUAUCAGAAGUGGGUGUUGGAUUUUGUCAAAGGCUUUUUCUGUGUCUAUUGAGAGGAUCAUAUGGUUUUUAUUCUUCAGUUUGUUAAUGUGGUGUAUCACAGUGAUUGAUUUAUGGAUAUUGAAAAGUCCUUGUAUCCCUGGAAUAAGUCCCACUUAUCAUGAUGUACAACUCUUUUAAUGUAUUGUUGGACUUGGUUUGCUAGCACUUUGUUCAGGAUUUUUGCAGAUAUGUUCAUCAGUGAAACUGGCCUGUAAUUUUCUUUUUUGUGGUUUCUUUGUCUGGUUUUGAUAUCAGGGUGAUGGUGGCCUCAUAGAAUGAGUUAGGGAGUGUUCUUUCCUCUGAAAGUUUUUGCAAUAGUUUCAGAAGGAUAGGUGUUGGCUCUUCUCUAAGUGUUUGAUAGAAUUCGCCUGUGAAGCCAUCUGGUCCUGGGCUUUUGUUUGUUGGAAGUUUUUAAAUCACAGUUUCAAUUUCAGUACUUGUGAUUGGUCCAUUCAUCUUUUCUAUUUCGUCUUGGUUUAUUCUUGGAAGAUUGUACUUUUCUAAGAAUUUGUCCAUUUUCUUCUAGGUUUUCCAUUUUAUUGGUGUAUGGUUUCAUAUAGUAGUCUCUUAUGAUCCUUUGUAAUUCUGUGAUGUCUGUUGUAACAUUUCCUUUUUCUUUUCUAAUUUUAUUGAAAUGAGUCCUCUCUUUUUUCUUGAUGAGUCUGGCUAAGGGUUUAUCAAUUUUGUUGAUCUUUUCCAAGAAACACUUUUUAGUUUCAUUGAUCUUGUCUAUGUUUUUUUUGUUUGUUUGUUUCUUUUUCAUUUAUUUCUGCUCUCUGAUCUUUAUGAUUUCUUCUGCUAACUUUAGAUCUUGUCUGUUCUAUUCUUUCUAGUUGCUUUAAGUGUAAAAUUAGGUUGUUUAUUUGUGGCUUUUCUUGUUUUCUGAGUUAAGCUUGUGUUGCUAUAAACUUCCCUCUUAGAACUGCUUUUGCUGCAUCCCAUAGGUUUCGGAUUGUUGUGUCUUUGUUGUCACUUGCUUCUAGGUAUUUUUUAAUUUCCUCUUUGAUGUCUUCAGUGAUCCAUUGGUUGUUUAGUAGCAUGUUUAAUAAUAUUUUGUUUAGUCACCACAUGUUUGUGUAUUUUACAGAUUUUUUCUUGUGCUUGAUUUCCACUCAUAUAGCAUUGUGGUUGGAAAAGAUGCUUGAUAUGAUUUCAGUUUUCUUAACUUUACUGAGGCUUGAUUUGUGGCCCAAAAUGUGAUCAAUCCUAGAGACUGUUCUGUGUGCACUUGGAAGAAUGUGUUCUGCUACUUUUGAAUGGAAUGUUAUAUAAAUAUCUAUCAAGUCCAUCUGGUCUAAUGUGUCAUUUGGGGCCUGUGUUUCCAUGUCAAUUUUCUGUCUGGAUGAUCUGUCCAUUGCUGUAAGUGGGGUGUUAAAGUCCCCCACUGUUAUUGUGUUAUUGUCAGUUUCUCCUUUUGAGGUCGUUAGCAGUUGUCUUAUAGAUUUAGGUGAUCCUAUGUUGGGUGCAUAUGUAUUUACAAUUAUCAUAUCUUCUUCUUGGAUUGAUCCUUUGAUCAUUAUGUAAUGUCCUUCUUUGUCUCUUAUAAUAUUCUUUAUUUUAAGGUCUAUUUUGUCUAAUAUGAGUAUUGCUGCUCCAGUUUUGUUUUGAUUCCCAUUUCAUGAAAUAUUUUCUUCCGUCUUCUCACUUUCAAUUUGUAUGUGUCCCUAGAACUAAAAUGGGUCUCUUGAAGGCAACAUAUAUAUGGGUCUUGUUUUUGUAUACAUUCAGACAGUUUAGGUCUUUUGGUUGGGGCAUCUAGUCCAUUUACAUUUAAGGUAAUUAUUGAUAUGUAUGUUCUUACUGCCAUUUUAUUAACUGUUUUGGGUUUGUUUUUUUGUUGGUCUUUUUUCUUCCCUUCUUCUCUUGUUCUCUUCUCUUUUGGUUUGAUGACUAUCUGUAGUAUUGUGUUUAGAUUGCUUUUUCUCAUUUGCAUGGGCAUCUACUGUAUAUUUUUUGUUUGCACUUACCCUGAAAUAUGUAUGUAUAUAAAUAUAGAAGAUUAUUUAAUGCUGUUGCUCUCUUAAUUGCAAGUGCAUCUCAGUGUCCUGCAUUUGUACCCUCCUCUUCUCACAGUUUCUGAUUUUGGUAGCAUAUUUUUGUGUGGAUGAUUUCCUACCUUUACUAUAUGUAUGCCUUUACUAGUGAGAGCCUUGUCAUUUUGUAAUAUUUUUGUGUCUAGUUGUAGCCUUUUCUUUUCCACCUAGAGAAGUUCUUUAAGUAUUUGUUGUAAAGCUGGUUUAGUGGCUCUGAAUUCUCUUAGCUUUUGCUUGUCUGUGAAGCUUUUGAUUUCUCCUUUGAAUCUGAAUGAGAGCCUUGCCGGGUAGAUUAAUCUUGUUUCAAGUUUUUUUUUUUUUUUCUUUCUUUCAUUACGUUAAGUAUAUCAUGCCACUCCCUUCUGGCUGCAGGGUUGCUGCUGAAAAAUCUGCCGAUAACCUUAUUGGGGUUCCCUUGUAUGUUAUUUGCAUCUUUUCCCUAUUUGCUUUCAGUAUUUUCUCUUUGUCUUUAAUUUUAGUCAGCUUGAAUAAUAUGUGUCUCUGGGUGUUCCUCCUUGGGUUUAUUUUAAAUGGUACUAAUUGUGCUUCUUGGAUUUGAGUGGGUGGUUCCUUUCCCAUGUUAGGGAAGUUUUGGGCUAUUACCUCUUCAAAUAUUUUUUAUGGCUCUUUCUCUCUCUCUUCUCCUGGCACCCCAUAAUAUAGGUGUUGGUGCAUUUAACUUUGUCCCAGUGUUCUCUCAGACUGUCUUCAUUUCUUUUCAAUCCUUUUUCUGUUUUCUGUUCUACAUCAGUGAUUUCCACUAAUCUGUCCUCCAUCUCAUUUAAUCAUUCUUCCGGCUCCUGUACUCUGCUGUUUGUUGCUUCUAAUGAAUUUUUUAUUUGUUAUUGUAUUUUGCACUUCUGCUUGCUUAAUCCUUAAAUCUUCUAUUUCUUUGCUCAGUGUUUCUUGUAAUUUAUUAGUCUUUGCCUCCAGUUUUAUUUCCAGAUAUUGAAUCAUCUUUACUGUCAUCUGUCUAAAGUCUUUUUUCGUGGAGAUUGGUAAUCUCUAGAUCACUUAGGUGUUUUUCUGGGUUUUUUUUUCUUGCUCCCUUAUUUGAUUCAUAAUUCUUUGUCUUUUCAUUUUCUAUAGAUUUCUGGUGUGGUCUUCUUUUGGCAGACAAUAGAGUUGUAUCCUCUUUUGCUUCUGAUAUCUGCCCCCCUUGAGGCUGAAGUUGGUAUGGAGGCUUAUUGUAAGCUUCCUGAUGGGAGGGACUGGUUCCUGCCCAUUGGUUGAUGGAGCUGAUUUCUAUCACUCUGGUGGGUGGGGCUUUGUCUCUGCAUGAGAUUAAAGGUGCUGUGGGAGCACACGCUGGUGAUUAUUCCCAAGAACCUUUGCCGCCAAUGUCCUUCCCCCACAAGAGCCACAGUCACCCCCCCCCCUAUUUUCCCAGAAGAUCCUCCAAGAACUGCAGUCAGGUCUGACCCAAAUUCCUAUGGAGUCUCUGCUUUGCCCUGGAACCCAGCGUACAUGAAAGUCUGUGUUCACCUUUCAAGAAUGGGGUCUCCAUUUCCUGCAGUCCUGUGGUGCUCCUGUGCACAAGCACCACUGGCCUUCAAUGCCAAACACUCUGGGGGCUCCUUCUCCCAGUGCCAGAUCCCUAGGCAUGGGGAACUGACUUGGGACUCAGAACUCUCACUCCCAUAGCUGAGUCUCUGUGAUAAAGUUACUUCCCAGUCUGUGGGCUGCCAACCUGGUGGGUAUGGGGUUGCUUAUAUCACAUAAUAGCCACUUCUACUGUCUUGAUGUGGCCUCCCCUUUGUCUUCUGGAGUAGGAUAUCUUUUUUGAUAGUUUACUGUCUAUUUGGUUGAAAGUUGUUCAGAAGUUGGUUGUAACUGUGUUGCUUUUAUGAGAAAAGUUGAGCUCCAGUCCUUCUACUCCCGACCAUCUUAAUCCCAUAUCCAUGGUUUUUGUUUUUUAAUAAGUUAAAAACAGAAGGUUUUACAUAAAAAUAAGAAUUCCUGGUUUGUCUUUAAAAAAGAAAAGAAAACAUAUAAUUUUAUCCUCCUCUUCUUUACAGUUGUUCUCAAUUAUUUUAUGUGAAUUUCCAAGAAAUUUUCAGGAAGUGUAUUUUCUAAUUUAGAAAAGAGGGUUGAUUUACACACAAUUGAUCUUCAUUUUAAACAUAUGAACUUAGUGAAAGUGACUAAAAUAUUAUCUGUAAUAUGACAGGAGAAAUAAAAUCCUUGGGAACUAAUCAUUUGAAUCCCAUUAUUCAUUCCACAAAUGCUUAUUGAACAUACUAUACUGUGAGGGUGCUGGACUCAGUGUUUCAUGAACACUCAAGCCAUGAUUUCUAUUAGAAAUGCUUUUAAUAUUCAGAAGAGAAGAGAGCUAUUUUCACAUCCUGUAUAAAACUAUAAGUGGAGUAAAGCCUUUUGUAAAAAGAGCAUCUUACAAGUGCUCCAGAUGCACCUUCUCCCACCUUGUCACUAAAAUACCUCAUCAGCUUUAAAUAGAAUAAAUAUAGCAUCACCAAAAAUUAGGAAUAACAACUAUUGAUAGCAUUUGGAGGAGCUUCCAGUUACUAGAAGUUUCAUGUAGUCAGAAACAGGGCAGACUGGCCUGGCUGGAAUUACGUAGGAAGCCCUAUCUGGACAUCUUUGUGCAAAAAGAACAAAAUUGGAGCCUUACCUUAUACCAUGU